UACGAAGGGGGCUAGCGUUGCUCGGAAUCACUGGGCGUAAAGGGUGCGUAGGCGGGUCUUUAAGUCAGAGGUGAAAUCCUGGAGCUCAACUCCAGAACUGCCUUUGAUACUGAAAGUCUUGAGUAUGGGAGAGGUGAGUGGAACUGCGAGUGUAGAGGUGAAAUUCGUAGAUAUUCGCAAGAACACCAGUGGCGAAGGCGGCUCACUGGCCCAUUACUGACGCUGAGGCACGAAAGCGUGGGGAGCAAACGGGG
RNAcentral lists this ribosomal RNA (254 nucleotides) under uncultured bacterium. Its description in RNAcentral is "partial 16S ribosomal RNA". It matches the Rfam family "Bacterial small subunit ribosomal RNA", at positions 524 to 777 of the family's 1533-position model. The record is from RNAcentral.